Mesocricetus auratus (golden hamster) is the source of this 251-nucleotide long non-coding RNA. RefSeq lists it as uncharacterized. The record is from RefSeq and is a predicted model, not a curated record. The transcript is spliced from 2 exons. NCBI's taxonomy places the organism in Eukaryota, Metazoa, Chordata, Mammalia, Rodentia, Cricetidae.
GGCGUUCGCAGCCUGAACCGCCGGGCUGGUGGCUCUCCUGUCCCCUCGCGGGCCGCGUCUCCGUCCGCUGCUCCUGAGAGCGCAAGCUCCACCCGCUGGUCCUCCUUAGCCCCGGCCGCUGCAAGGAGCUGGUGAGAGCUCUGAUUAAGCAUUGGUUUGUCUAAUACCGGCUACCACUACAUACGCACAGAGAAGCUGCCUUCUCCCACCCCAUCAAGAAAACAACCAAAUAAAACACAAGGUACAAUGUA